UGAGGAAUAUUGGUCAAUGGGCGCAAGCCUGAACCAGCCAAGUCGCGUGAAGGAAGACGGCCCUAUGGGUUGUAAACUUCUUUAGGGUGGGAACAAAGGACGCCACGCGUGGCGAGAUGAGUGUACCACCAGAAUAAGCAUCGGCUAACUCCGUGCCAGCAGCCGCGGUAAUACGGAGGAUGCGAGCGUUAUCCGGAUUUAUUGGGUUUAAAGGGUGCGUAGGCGGCUUGGUAAGUCAGCGGUGAAAUUCCAGUGCUCAACAUUGGCCGUGCCGUUGAUACUGCUGGGCUUGAAUGCGGAUGCCGUGGGAGGAAUGUGUGGUGUAGCGGUGAAAUGCAUAGAUAUCACACAGAACACCGAUUGCGAAGGCAUCUCACGAAUC
RNAcentral lists this ribosomal RNA (382 nucleotides) under uncultured Porphyromonas sp. RNAcentral describes it as "bacterial SSU rRNA". It matches the Rfam family "Bacterial small subunit ribosomal RNA", at positions 355 to 734 of the family's 1533-position model. The record is from RNAcentral. Lineage: Bacteria; Pseudomonadati; Bacteroidota; Bacteroidia; Bacteroidales; Porphyromonadaceae.